CCAUUUUUUUUCAGUCUCAAUCCAAUUUUUUCUGUUUCAAUUUGCUGGCACUGUUUUGGCGUGCAGGGGCGUGCUUGAGGGGCGGGGAUUCUGACCUACAUGUAUUUGUAUACAUUAUAGUGCUGACCAAUGACUGUAGAAAAUAACGAUGACUUAGAGGCUGCAGUCACGGACAAACUUGUAUGUGUCUGUUCGGGAAUGGCAGAUACUGAGAGGUUCAAUGUUUACGUUACCGACUGUUUCAAACUGACAGCCUGAUGUGUUCUUCAGUAAACUGGACUACCCGACAGAAGGACCCGAUUUUCGGACCAAUUUGCCAUGGCAGAAGCCCCUGGACAACAUAGCCCCUGGGAUCACUGGGAAACACAAACCACUCCACCACGAUAAGACAGCAGCUCAAACACUGCUGAUAAUGCCCCCGUAUGUUGGUGACCAGAAUGCAGCAGCAGACUGGACCAGGACUGAAACCUGGUCCAUCAUCUCAUCUUUGCAGAUCUCCAUUUACAAAGCACAAACAACUCAAGGAAGCUGCCCUCAGAUUGAGACCUCAGCAUCACCCAGUGGCAACAGACAAAUCAUCUUAUAUCUUCACUCUUUGUAGCAACUCCAAAACUGAUCAAAAGAGUACAACGGUGCAGCUGCAGCUGUUUGUAGAUAAAGUUAAAGACAAAAAGUCAAAAGGGUUAAUCACCCAUGUAACUGUGUCACCAUAUAUCAAGAUUAACAGUACCUCAGUUUGGUGUUUCAGAAAGGUGCUGAUCCUUGCACCUUGCACAACUUCUGUUUUAAACACUGAAUGUAGUCAGAUGUUUUCUCAGACACAAUUAAAUAAAACCUGA
Molecule: long non-coding RNA, 839 nt
Organism: Oreochromis aureus
Lineage: Eukaryota; Metazoa; Chordata; Actinopteri; Cichliformes; Cichlidae
Exons: 4
Source: RefSeq, a predicted model, not a curated record